GAGACUCUGUCUCAAAAACAAACAAACAAACAAACAAACAAACCACCCCACACUUAACAUGAGUCAGGGUGUGACUCAGUGGUUAAGUGCUUGCCGUUCAUCUAUGAAGCUCUGGGUUCUUAGGCAGCACAGGGAUGUGGAGGGGGCGGUAGAUCUUGCGACUGAAAUUAAAGUAGACAGGGUGUGAUGCUUGCUACUUCGUGAGGAUCUAGAGUCAGCUGGGAGACAAGCCUCUGAGUAGGCCUGUGAGGGACAGAGACAUUCCGUCAGCCACAGUUGUUAACUGAUUGGCAUUGCAAGACAAGGAAAGGGGGGAGGGGGAGGAGGCUAUGACGACAGUGGUGGCAAUGAUACUUCUGGUUUUGUUUUUGUUUAAAAAAAAAACCACGAAGUGCUAACAUAGAGUUUUCAAAAAGAGAGGUGUAUUUUAUUCAUAUUUACCCAAGGUGAUACGGAGAGCUCUCUGAACAAGGAGCUGCUGUCAUGGGAGGAACCGAGUGUGGACACCCCGGGGUGGUCGGAGAAGCUUGGGUCUGCGGGAAAGCUCCUGACCCACAGCUAGCUCCAAAGGAGAAAGCAUACUUGAUCUGCCUCGAAGGUUCUGACCUGAUGGCGACCCGCCAAGUGACAUGCCUGGGAAGAUUUCACAACUGCUGUCUCCAGGUUGGGUGGCAGAAACGAACGUUCCAGGAUGUUGCUAGAUCUCAGCCUCCAAAAAGUCAGUUCCUUGUCCAGCUGGAAGAUGCUACGUAUUUCCUCUCUUCCACUCCGACCGAC
This is a long non-coding RNA of Mus musculus (house mouse), 777 nucleotides long. RefSeq annotates it as predicted gene, 32566. The record is from RefSeq and is a predicted model, not a curated record. The transcript has 3 exons. NCBI's taxonomy places the organism in Eukaryota, Metazoa, Chordata, Mammalia, Rodentia, Muridae.